RNAcentral lists this ribosomal RNA (837 nucleotides) under Trechispora sp. RNAcentral's name for it is "partial small subunit ribosomal RNA". The record is from RNAcentral. Lineage: Eukaryota; Fungi; Basidiomycota; Agaricomycetes; Trechisporales; Hydnodontaceae.
UUUCUGUAUCGAGUGAGGAUAACGGAUUGAACAAUAAUGAUGUAACUUUCCUAUUAGUGUUGUCUAAAUGCUGGUGCCAGAAGACUCGGUAAAGCCAGGAACGCUAACGUUAGUAAUCUUAAACAGGCGUAAAGGGUUCGUAGACAGCUUUGCGUUGCAUAAAGGCGCAACUAGUUUCAAUUAACUUUAUUUUAAUUUGAACCUUUAUCCGUUUAAACUUACGAGUUAACUAUUGCUAUAAGUUUAUUUACGUAUCAUCUUAAAAAUAAAGGUUAACUAGAAUACUUUUAUAUAGCUGACCUCCUGAUAAGAUUAUGACUGUUGUAAUAACCUUAUUUACUAAUUUUGCUUCUUUUCUUCCCUAAAAAAAAAUAACUGUCUAUUAUAACGGAUAGUUAAGGGUAGCAAAUGUUAUGUAUAUGGGAGUAUGCAAUAGUGUACACUUAAUGCUUUACGUGUAUAGUCUCUUUUUUCUAUAUUUUGUUUGUAUUAAUUUUAAUUUAACUACCUUCACUAACUUCCUUUUCUUUUAGGUAGGAAAAGGUAUAGUGCAAGCAAGGAAAUGGAAAGUGGAAAUACUAAACAGGAUAAAGCCAUUAGUUAAAGGUACAAUUAGGUGUAUUAAUAACUUUAAAAGGGAAAGUAUUUAGUGUCUUAUGUGAAAUGAGUGAAGAUUGAAUCUGAUGCGAGGUACAACAACAAAUGCUUUAAGGAAUGAUGAAAUAUUUAGAUCUAAAGUGGAAGUGUUAGGGCGUAAGCUAUUUACCUAUUAAAGAUUGACGUUGAGGAACGUAGGUUGGGACAGAAAAAAGGAUUAGAUACCCAAGUAUUCCCAUC